UCGCUAAACUGACUGAGUCRCUGAUCAGCCGCUGACGUAGAGCCUCGUCGUUAGUUCGCUGUACGGACGACAGUACCAGCGUCACUGCUGUAUCUGGMCAGGUAGCUUAUCCAGAAAUGUCCACGGCUAGUUACGUGACUUGCCAGCGCAGUAUUACGUAAGUUGGCUAGCGUCGUUCUGAACUACUUGGGCGUAAAGCGCGCGGCAGGUGGCUCCUUAAAGUCUGAUGGUGUAAAGCCCACGGCUCAUCCGUCGGAGGGUCAUGGGAAACUGGGGAACUUGAGUGCAGAAGAGGAAAGGUGGAACUUCCUAAGUGUUGCGGUGAAAUGCGUAGAGAUUUGGAGGAACACCAGUGGGGAAGGCGACUUUCUGGUCUGUAACUGACACUGAGGCGCGAAAGCGUGGGAGCAAACAGGAUUAGAUACCCUGGUAGUACACGCCGUAAACGAUGAGUGCUAAGUGUUAGAGGGUUUCCGCCCUUUAGUGCUGCAGCUAUCGCAUUAAGCACUCCGCCUGGGGAGUACGGCCGCAAGGCUGAAACUCAAAGGAAUUGACGGGGGCCCGCACAAGCGGUGGAGCAUGUGGUUUAAUUCGAAGCAACGCGAAGAACCUUACCAGGUCUUGACAUCCUCUGACAACCCUAGAGAUAGGGCUUUCUCCUUCGGGGGACAGAGUGACAGGUGGUGCAUGGUUGUCGUCAGCUCGUGUCGUGAGAUGUUGGGUUAAGUCCCGCAACGAGCGCAACCCUUGAUCUUAGUUGCCAGCAUUCAGUUGGGCACUCUAAGGUGACYGCCGGUGACAAACCGGAGGAAGGUGGGGAUGACGUCAAAUCAUCAUGCCCCUUAUGACCUGGGCUACACACGUGCUACAAUGGAUGGUACAAAGGGCUGCAAACCUGCGAAGGUAAGCGAAUCCCAUAAAGCCAUUCUCAGUUCGGAUUGCAGGCUGCAACUCGCCUGCAUGAAGCCGGAAUCGCUAGUAAUCGCGGAUCAGCAUGCCGCGGUGAAUACGUUCCCGGGCCUUGUACACACCGCCCGUCACACCACGAGAGUUUGUAACACCCGAAGUCGGUGAGGUAACCUUCAUGGAGCCAGCCGCCUAAGGUGACGAUUCG
RNAcentral lists this ribosomal RNA (1114 nucleotides) under Bacillus sp. (in: firmicutes). Its description in RNAcentral is "bacterial SSU rRNA". Lineage: Bacteria; Bacillati; Bacillota; Bacilli; Caryophanales; Bacillaceae. The record is from RNAcentral.